Molecule: non-coding RNA, 725 nt
Organism: Manis javanica (Malayan pangolin)
Lineage: Eukaryota; Metazoa; Chordata; Mammalia; Pholidota; Manidae
Source: RefSeq, a predicted model, not a curated record
GAUCGUUGCAGCUGGAGGAGGUGACGUGCAAAUCUGUCGUGCUGGGCGCUGCACACGACUGGACUCUGCUCAGAAGCGAGAGCAGCCCUGUGGCCUGCCACCCUUAGAGACUGCAGGGGCUUGAAAAUCCUCGCUAUCCGAGCCCUGCCCUUCGGCUUCCCGCGGUUGGCUGCCCCGCGCCCUCAGCCGGUGCUUCCUCCGCCCUGCACGCCUCACCCCUAAAGCCUCGCCAGCUGGCGGCUCGCGCAGCAAGAUCCCCAAUUGCUAGCGAGCCGCGGGGAUCCUCUUCCUGUCCCAAGGGAUCAUGCCAGUCGGGGCUUUGCGCCUUCAAGGGUGGGGCCUGCGACGAGCCCAUCUGGAAAAAACCUCCCAAGACCUGAAGCGCCACUUCCUUCUUCCAUUACUGGCAGAUAGUGUGCUUUCCCCCUGAGCUCACAGAACCAGAGUGAAAGGCAAGGUGACAUCAAAAAAACACUGCAAUCAAGGCCAGUUCUGGAACAGAAGACUUAAGUUUGAGGUCUGUUAAGACCUCCUUUAGUGUUUAUUAAAUAAAUGUCAUUGCAUUUUAUCCAGAGUAAACAAUGAGCUCUGUGGAGUGUCAAAAAAAAUUAUCUCUAUCACCCAGCUUAGCUACACUAAAUGCUGUAACCCUUCACCUUCCAAAGUACUUCGUUCUUGAUAAUACUUUUUUUUUAAGAAAAGGAACUUUUACGAGAAAUAACUGG